AGAGUUUGAUCAUGGCUCAGAUUGAACGCUGGCGGCAGGCCUAACACAUGCAAGUCGAGCGGUAGCACAGAGAGCUUGCUCUCGGGUGACGAGCGGCGGACGGGUGAGUAAUGUCUGGGAAACUGCCUGAUGGAGGGGGAUAACUACUGGAAACGGUAGCUAAUACCGCAUAACGUCGCAAGACCAAAGUGGGGGACCUUCGGGCCUCAUGCCAUCAGAUGUGCCCAGAUGGGAUUAGCUGGUAGGUGGGGUAACGGCUCACCUAGGCGACGAUCCCUAGCUGGUCUGAGAGGAUGACCAGCCACACUGGAACUGAGACACGGUCCAGACUCCUACGGGAGGCAGCAGUGGGGAAUAUUGCACAAUGGGCGCAAGCCUGAUGCAGCCAUGCCGCGUGUGUGAAGAAGGCCUUCGGGUUGUAAAGCACUUUCAGCGGGGAGGAAGGCGAUAAGGUUAAUAACCUUGUCGAUUGACGUUACCCGCAGAAGAAGCACCGGCUAACUCCGUGCCAGCAGCCGCGGUAAUACGGAGGGUGCAAGCGUUAAUCGGAAUUACUGGGCGUAAAGCGCACGCAGGCGGUCUGUCAAGUCGGAUGUGAAAUCCCCGGGCUCAACCUGGGAACUGCAUUCGAAACUGGCAGGCUAGAGUCUUGUAGAGGGGGGUAGAAUUCCAGGUGUAGCGGUGAAAUGCGUAGAGAUCUGGAGGAAUACCGGUGGCGAAGGCGGCCCCCUGGACAAAGACUGACGCUCAGGUGCGAAAGCGUGGGGAGCAAACAGGAUUAGAUACCCUGGUAGUCCACGCUGUAAACGAUGUCGAUUUGGAGGUUGUGCCCUUGAGGCGUGGCUUCCGGAGCUAACGCGUUAAAUCGACCGCCUGGGGAGUACGGCCGCAAGGUUAAAACUCAAAUGAAUUGACGGGGGCCCGCACAAGCGGUGGAGCAUGUGGUUUAAUUCGAUGCAACGCGAAGAACCUUACCUGGUCUUGACAUCCACAGAACUUUCCAGAGAUGGAUUGGUGCCUUCGGGAACUGUGAGACAGGUGCUGCAUGGCUGUCGUCAGCUCGUGUUGUGAAAUGUUGGGUUAAGUCCCGCAACGAGCGCAACCCUUAUCCUUUGUUGCCAGCGGUCCGGCCGGGAACUCAAAGGAGACUGCCAGUGAUAAACUGGAGGAAGGUGGGGAUGACGUCAAGUCAUCAUGGCCCUUACGACCAGGGCUACACACGUGCUACAAUGGCAUAUACAAAGAGAAGCGACCUCGCGAGAGCAAGCGGACCUCAUAAAGUAUGUCGUAGUCCGGAUUGGAGUCUGCAACUCGACUCCAUGAAGUCGGAAUCGCUAGUAAUCGUAGAUCAGAAUGCUACGGUGAAUACGUUCCCGGGCCUUGUACACACCGCCCGUCACACCAUGGGAGUGGGUUGCAAAAGAAGUAGGUAGCUUAACCUUCGGGAGGGCGCUUACCACUUUGUGAUUCAUGACUGGGGUGAAGUCGUAACAAGGUAACCGUAGGGGAACCUGCGGUUGGAUCACCU
This 1528-nucleotide ribosomal RNA is filed under the name Klebsiella variicola. RNAcentral's name for it is "bacterial SSU rRNA". It matches the Rfam family "Bacterial small subunit ribosomal RNA". Lineage: Bacteria; Pseudomonadati; Pseudomonadota; Gammaproteobacteria; Enterobacterales; Enterobacteriaceae. RNAcentral also lists the same sequence under 2 other names. The record is from RNAcentral.